RNAcentral lists this ribosomal RNA (186 nucleotides) under uncultured bacterium. RNAcentral's name for it is "partial 16S ribosomal RNA". It matches the Rfam family "Bacterial small subunit ribosomal RNA", at positions 1317 to 1500 of the family's 1533-position model. The record is from RNAcentral.
ACCAUGAAGCCGGAAUUGCUAGUAAUGGCAGGUCAGCAUACUGCCGUGAAUACGUUCCCGGGCCCUUGUACACACCGCCCGUCACACCAUGAGAGUUGGGGAUACCCGAAGCCUGUGAGCCAACUUUCUAAGAGGCAGCAGUCGAAGGUAGAAUCAAUGAUUGGGGUGAAGUCGUAACAAGGUAAC